GAGCGCGCAUAUAGCGGCGCCCGCCGGGCCCUGCCUGGCACUCGGCGGCGGCGACCACUGCGAAAGACCGUACUUCGUUCGCUCGUAACUCGCUCGGCUUCCUCUGCAGCCAUGUCUGACAAACCCGAUAUGGCUGAGAUUGAGAAAUUCGAUAAGUCGAAACUGAAGAAAACAGAAACGAGAGAGAAAAAUCCACUGCCUUCACAAGAAACGAUUGAACAGGAGAAGCAAGCAGGCGAGUCGUAAUGAGGCGUGCGCCGCCAAUAUGCACUGUACAUUCCACGAGCAUUGCCUUCUUAUUUUACUUCUUUUAGCUGUUUAACUUUGUAAGAUGCAAAGAGGUUGAAUCGAGUUUAAAUGACUGUGCUGCCCCUUUUCACAUCAAAGAAUGGAGAACUACUGACAACGAAGGCCGCGCCUGCCUCCCAUCCGCCGGUCUGGCUGGCAGGGAAGGAAAAGAACUUGCAUGUUGGUGAAGGAGGAGGCUGGGUGGGACGACGGGGAAAUCUAAAGAGCAAGGUGGUCCAAGGUGUCCUGCGGGCUGUAAAAUGCAGUUUAAUCAGAGUGCCAUUUUUUUGUUGUUGUUGUUGUUCAAAUGACUUUAAUUAUUGGAAUGCACAAUUUUUUUAAUAUGCAAAUAAAAAGUUUUAAAACCCGGCUGGUGUGACGGUAUGGUCUCUGAAAGGAGCGGCUUAUUCAGAUGAAACCUUUGCAAGAGGGUCAAAGGUGGGUUCCCUGGGGAGCCAU
Molecule: long non-coding RNA, 747 nt
Filed under: Physeter macrocephalus (sperm whale)
Lineage: Eukaryota; Metazoa; Chordata; Mammalia; Artiodactyla; Physeteridae
Description: Physeter catodon (sperm whale) lncRNA (ENSPCTG00005015081.1)
Source: RNAcentral